This 497-nucleotide ribosomal RNA is filed under the name uncultured bacterium. RNAcentral's name for it is "partial 16S ribosomal RNA". It matches the Rfam family "Bacterial small subunit ribosomal RNA", at positions 28 to 507 of the family's 1533-position model. The record is from RNAcentral.
GAUGAACGCUGGCGGCGUGCCUAAUACAUGCAAGUCGAGCGAACAGAUGAGGAGCUUGCUCCUCUGACGUUAGCGGCGGACGGGUGAGUAACACGUGGAUAACCUACCUAUAAGACUGGGAUAACUUCGGGAAACCGGAGCUAAUACCGGAUAAUAUAUUGAACCGCAUGGUUCAAUAGUGAAAGACGGUUUUGCUGUCGCUUAUAGAUGGAUCCGCGCCGCAUUAGCUAGUUGGUAAGGUAACGGCUUACCAAGGCAACGAUGCGUAGCCGACCUGAGAGGGUGAUCGGCCACACUGGAACUGAGACACGGUCCAGACUCCUACGGGAGGCAGCAGUAGGGAAUCUUCCGCAAUGGGCGAAAGCCUGACGGAGCAACGCCGCGUGAGUGAUGAAGGUCUUCGGAUCGUAAAACUCUGUUAUUAGGGAAGAACAAAUGUGUAAGUAACUAUGCACGUCUUGACGGUACCUAAUCAGAAAGCCACGGCUAACUACGUG